UAUGUGUUCUUUUAAGGAGGUUUAAACU
RNAcentral lists this non-coding RNA (28 nucleotides) under Rattus norvegicus (Norway rat). The record is from RNAcentral. Lineage: Eukaryota; Metazoa; Chordata; Mammalia; Rodentia; Muridae.